CACCUCUAGCCAAAUAACAUAUAUUAGAGGCACUGCCUGCCCAGUGAUUACAUUCAACGGCCGCGGUAUUCUGACCGUGCAAAGGUAGCAUAAUCAUUUGUCUUUUAAAUAAAGACUAGUAUGAACGGCAACACGAAAGCUCAACUGUCUCCUUUAUUCAGUCAAUGAAAUUGAUCCUCUCGUACAAAAGCGAGAAUAUAUUAACAAGACGAGAAGACCCUAUGGAACUUUAAAUACUAAACCAUUUUUAUACCACAUCCAAACAUAAAAAAUUGGCAUAUUAUUUUUGGUUGGGGUGACCACGGAGAAAAAUUCAACCUCCGAUGAUACAACACUAAGACAUAACAUAAUCAAAGUACUAAAACCUUAGAUUUAUGACCCAAUAAACUUGAUCAACGAACCAAGCUACCCUAGGGAUAACAGCGCAAUCUUCUCCAAGAGCCCAUAUCGACAAGAAGGUUUACGACCUCGAUGUUGGAUCAGGAUUACCAGACAGUGCAGCCGCCGUCUAAGGUUUGUUUGUUCAACAAUUAAUAAUCCU
Molecule: ribosomal RNA, 541 nt
Filed under: Gegeneophis carnosus
Lineage: Eukaryota; Metazoa; Chordata; Amphibia; Gymnophiona; Indotyphlidae
Description: partial 16S ribosomal RNA
Rfam family: Bacterial large subunit ribosomal RNA
Source: RNAcentral